Molecule: ribosomal RNA, 253 nt
Filed under: uncultured bacterium
Lineage: Bacteria
Description: partial 16S ribosomal RNA
Rfam family: Bacterial small subunit ribosomal RNA
Source: RNAcentral
UACGGGGGGGGCAAGCGUUGUUCGGAAUUACUGGGCGUAAAGGGUUCGUAGGUGGCCCGCUAAGUCAGACGUGAAAUCCCUCAGCUCAACUGGGGAACUGCGUCUGAGACUGGCGGGCUUGAGUGCAGGAGAGGAACGCGGAAUUCCAGGUGUAGCGGUGAAAUGCGUAGAUAUCUGGAGGAACACCGGUGGCGAAGGCGGCGUUCUGGACUGUUACUGACACUGAGGAACGAAAGCCAGGGGAGCGAACGGG